Molecule: ribosomal RNA, 467 nt
Filed under: uncultured bacterium
Lineage: Bacteria
Description: partial 16S ribosomal RNA
Rfam family: Bacterial small subunit ribosomal RNA
Source: RNAcentral
ACGAACGCUGGCGGCGUGCUUAACACAUGCACGUCGAACGGAAAGGCCCUGCUUUUGUGGGGUGCUCGAGUGGCGAACGGGUGAGUAACACGUGAGUAACCUGCCCUUGACUUUGGGAUAACUUCAGGAAACUGGGGCUAAUACCGGAUAGGAGCUCCUGCUGCAUGGUGGGGGUUGGAAAGUUUCGGCGGUUGGGGAUGGACUCGCGGCUUAUCAGCUUGUUGGUGGGGUAGUGGCUUACCAAGGCUUUGACGGGUAGCCGGCCUGAGAGGGUGACCGGCCACAUUGGGACUGAGAUACGGCCCAGACUCCUACGGGAGGCAGCAGUGGGGAAUAUUGCACAAUGGGCGGAAGCCUGAUGCAGCAACGCCGCGUGCGGGAUGACGGCCUUCGGGUUGUAAACCGCUUUCGCCUGUGACGAAGCGUGAGUGACGGUAAUGGGAAAAGAAGCACCGGCUAACUACGUG